RNAcentral lists this ribosomal RNA (465 nucleotides) under Vreelandella stevensii. Its description in RNAcentral is "partial 16S ribosomal RNA". It matches the Rfam family "Bacterial small subunit ribosomal RNA", at positions 338 to 795 of the family's 1533-position model. The record is from RNAcentral. Lineage: Bacteria; Pseudomonadati; Pseudomonadota; Gammaproteobacteria; Oceanospirillales; Halomonadaceae.
CCUACGGGUGGCUGCAGUGGGGAAUAUUGGACAAUGGGGGGAACCCUGAUCCAGCCAUGCCGCGUGUGUGAAGAAGGCCCUCGGGGUGUAAAGCACUUUCAGUGAGGAAGAACGCCUGGUGGUUAAUACCCAUCAGGAAAGACAUCACUCACAGAAGAAGCACCGGCUAACUCCGUGCCAGCAGCCGCGGUAAUACGGAGGGUGCGAGCGUUAAUCGGAAUUACUGGGCGUAAAGCGCGCGUAGGUGGCUUGAUAAGCCGGUUGUGAAAGCCCCGGGCUCAACCUGGGAACGGCAUCCGGAACUGUCAAGCUAGAGUGCAGGAGAGGAAGGUAGAAUUCCCGGUGUAGCGGUGAAAUGCGUAGAGAUCGGGAGGAAUACCAGUGGCGAAGGCGGCCUUCUGGACUGACACUGACACUGAGGUGCGAAAGCGUGGGUAGCAAACAGGAUUAGAUACCCUAGUAGUC